This is a long non-coding RNA of Orcinus orca (killer whale), 861 nucleotides long. RefSeq lists it as uncharacterized. Lineage: Eukaryota; Metazoa; Chordata; Mammalia; Artiodactyla; Delphinidae. The transcript has 2 exons. The record is from RefSeq and is a predicted model, not a curated record.
GUAAAGAAUAAUGGAUGACAGAUGCAGCCGGAGAAGUGGGACCAAUCUGGGAGGACCAAGGAUCCCAGCGGGGACCUUGGAGUUCACCCUGUAGGCACUGAGGAGCCAUAGAAAAUCCCCGAGCAGUAGCAAGGCUGUUUGACAGGUCCCAUCAGAUGUCUUUGCCGGGACUUCCCUGGUGGUCCAGUGGUUAAGAAUCCAUCUUGCAAUGCAGGGGACGCCGGUUUGAUCCUUGGCCAGGGAACUAAGAUCCUGCAAGCUGCGGGGCAGCUAAGCCCAUGCACCACAACUAGAGAGCCUGUGCACCACAAGGAAGAGCCCACGUGCCGCAACUAAGACCUAAUGAAGCCAAUAAAUAAAUAUUAAAAAAAAUAAAUAUUCUUAAAAAAAAAAUGAUGUCUUUGUCAAACAGUGUGGAGUGUGUUCCGUGGGAAGAGCCUGCACAUGAGAGAUCUGUUUGGCGUUUGUCCCCAGGUAGAAGCGAUCAGGAGUGGGACAAAGCUAGAAAGCAAGACUCUUUCUUUCAGUUGCUCUUGUUUGCUGACCUUGGAAUUGGGAAGAAAGAUACUCCUGAGAGGCUUCUGCCAUAGAAUUUGCAUGGCUCAGUGAAUGAACAACAUGAGCUGUGAACAGUUAACAAAUAUCUACAGGGACUUCCCUGGUGGCACAGUGGUUAAGAAUCUGCCUGCCAAUGCAGGGGACAUGGGUUCCAUCCCGGUUCAGGAAGAUCCCACAUGCUGUGGAGCAACUAAGCCCGUGUGCCACAACUACUGAAGCCCGUGUGCCCUAGAGCCCGUGCACCGCCCCUACUGAACCCACAUGCUGCAACUACUGAAGCCCGUGUGCCUAGAGCCUGUGCUC